Molecule: transfer RNA, 87 nt
Filed under: Phycisphaerae bacterium
Lineage: Bacteria; Pseudomonadati; Planctomycetota; Phycisphaerae
Description: tRNA-Ser
Rfam family: tRNA
About the family: Transfer RNA (tRNA) molecules are approximately 80 nucleotides in length. Their secondary structure includes four short double-helical elements and three loops (D, anti-codon, and T loops).
Source: RNAcentral
GGUGAGGUGGCGGAGCGGUUGAACGCACCGGUCUUGAAAACCGGCGUGGCCUCCGGGUCACCGUGGGUUCGAAUCCCACCCUCACCG